Molecule: ribosomal RNA, 423 nt
Filed under: uncultured bacterium
Lineage: Bacteria
Description: bacterial SSU rRNA
Rfam family: Bacterial small subunit ribosomal RNA
Source: RNAcentral
AAGACCUUGCGCUUUUGGAGCGGCCGAUGCCUGAUUAGCUAGUUGGUGGGGUAAUGGCCUACCAAGGCUUCGAUCAGUAGCUGGUCUGAGAAGACGGCCAGCCACACUGGGACUGAGACACGGCCCAGACUCCUACGGGAGGCAGCAGUGGGGAAUUUUGGACAAUGGGCGCAAGCCUGAUCCAGCCAUGCCGCGUGAGUGAAGAAGGCCUUCGGGUUGUAAAGCUCUUUCAGCCGGGAAGAAAAGGUUGCGAUUAAUAAUCGCAAUUUAUGACGGUACCGGAAGAAGAAGCACCGGCUAACUACGUGCCAGCAGCCGCGGUAAUACGUAGGGUGCGAGCGUUAAUCGGAAUUACUGGGCGUAAAGGGUGCGCAGGCGGUUUUGUAAGUCAGAUGUGAAAUCCCCGGGCUUAACCUGGGAACU